This 285-nucleotide long non-coding RNA is filed under the name Lathyrus oleraceus (garden pea). RNAcentral's name for it is "Pisum sativum (pea) long non-coding RNA (PSAT_LNC035245)". Lineage: Eukaryota; Viridiplantae; Streptophyta; Magnoliopsida; Fabales; Fabaceae. The record is from RNAcentral.
AAAAAAAUGUGCUUUGUAUUGAUGAUAAGGCUUAAAUAUUAACACAAAAUGAGCCCUACAAAGCUAUCCAUAUGCCUUGGGCGUGGCAUUGGAUGUUUUUAGAAAACAGUAAAUUACUUUGAAAAAGAAACUAUAUCCGGAACAUCUGUUGCCUUCCAGUUAGUGAGAGCGGCAUCCGGAGGUCCAUGAAACACCAUCUUGGACAAAUCUGGAUCUUCAUCUUCAAGAGCAUUCACUUGAUCAUCACUUCGGAAACCAGCUUUGGAGAAUAUUUCCUGGAUGCUA